AUGGGAACGCGAAGAACCUUACCUACUCUUGACAUCCAGAGAACUUUCCAGAGAUGGAUUGGUGCCUUCGGGAACUCUGAGACAGGUGCUGCAUGGCUGUCGUCAGCUCGUGUUGUGAAUGUUGGGUUAAGUCCGCAACGAGCGCAACCCGUUAUCCUUUGUUGCCAGCGGUUAGGCCGGGAACUCAAAGGAGACUGCCAGUGAUAAACUGGAGGAAGGUGGGGAUGACGUCAAGUCAUCAUGGCCCUUACGAGUAGGGCUACACACGUGCUACAAUGGCGCAUACAAAGAGAAGCGACCUCGCGAGAGCAAGCGGACCUCAUAAAGUGCGUCGUAGUCCGGAUUGGAGUCUGCAACUCGACUCCAUGAAGUCGGAAUCGCUAGUAAUCGUAGAUCAGAAUGCUACGGUGAAUACGUUCCCGGGUCUUGUACACACCGAGUCGUGGGA
RNAcentral lists this ribosomal RNA (448 nucleotides) under uncultured bacterium. Its description in RNAcentral is "bacterial SSU rRNA". It matches the Rfam family "Bacterial small subunit ribosomal RNA", at positions 954 to 1404 of the family's 1533-position model. The record is from RNAcentral.